GCAACCAUUGCCAUGUGUGUAAACAAUAGGACACGUGUCAACAAUGUUUAAAAAAGACUUGAUAGGUAAAAUGCUAAUGGUUGCCAUGCUAACACAGAAAACAAGCUGAAAAGACAAAAGGCACGAUGACAGCUUUACAAGCAUUCUUCAUUUUUGUUGUGUACUAUGUCAAAUGAGAGUUGCCAAAACGCGAGUAUGAUAAAUGCUGCUACGCUAGCACACAGCAAGACAUCGACCCGAAAUGGCUUUCGAUUGUAUAAAGGCCUUUAUCAAGUAACGAUUUGAUUGAUUUUUUUUCCCUCCCUCCUCCCCAUUUGACUGUUUGUGUAAAAGAGAAGCUCAUGUUUGAUCUCAGCUCGUUGUAGCAGGCGCACACAUCACGGCCAAGAAGCCAAAAAGCUGCCAGACAAGGACGCUCUAAGCACAAUUGCUUACGACAGAAGGGCCGGCCGACAGUGUGGGCGUUUCAUUAAGUGCCUUUUGGCAAGCGCUCCUGUUGGCUGCGCUCCGCCAACGACCUGCAUCCCAAUUUUCUCUUUGAAGUGAUAACAAAGAGCUUCCAGCGUAAAAAGGCGGGCAGUCUUUUUGAUUUAGGUGUCGUCGGCUAUGUGUUUGCUUCUGACAAGAAGGAGAAGCGGGUGAAAGACUGCUAUGUUACCUUGUCGCUCUAUCUGGCGGCUUCACUAUUUGUGAUCAAAAUUUAAGAAUGCUACCAUGUGUUUGUGUACAAGAAAAAGAAAGGUGACCAACUCUUAAUCAAGAAAGAACUAAUGUGGGUCUAUGAAGGAGCAAUUAAUUAACAUGUAUACUUCUUUGUUAGCUACUCCACCUAACCGUCAGUUAGCUAUUUGUGCAUCAAAAGGCAAAAUGUCGUGUGGUUGUCUAAAGGAAGUAAGACGACCAACUUUUUGUACCCAAAGGUAAUUUUUAUGUGCUUUUUGACAGAAAGGGGGACUGAGUGACGACAUAGGCUGCUUGCUAACAGUGUCUCGCAAGAGCUGUCUGCUAGCUAUUUGUGAUCACAAGGUCCGGAAGGUGACAUCUGAACCGGAACUUGAAAGACUUCUGACCUUCCACGUGAGAUCCAGCUGACAUUUGGGCCGAGGACACGUAGGACCAUAGUUCACCCACCGUGACGCUUCAUGUCAACACCUGCCAAGAGAGCAGAUGUCAUUUAAUGCCGACGCAGCCCAGCUCCACACAAGAAGAAGAAGAAAUGCAAAAGCCCUUCACAUCAAAGGAUAAAUCUGAUUUCAGGUUUACAACGGUAGACAUGGCCAAGUGGUUAAGAUCGUCACCUGCCACCAGCGGGGGGGGGGACCUGGUUCGAAUACCAGCCCCCCCAGACAGACUGUUGCGGUGUCCUUGAGCAAGGCACUGAGACCCCAAGUGGCUCCCUGGGUACAUAAGCAUCAUCGUUUCUUCUUCAAAUGGUGGUCAGAACACAACUGUCAUUUCAAGUGCCUCUGAUUAACUCCAAAUAAAUUAAAACACUA
This is a long non-coding RNA of Hippocampus comes (tiger tail seahorse), 1496 nucleotides long. RefSeq lists it as uncharacterized. Lineage: Eukaryota; Metazoa; Chordata; Actinopteri; Syngnathiformes; Syngnathidae. The record is from RefSeq and is a predicted model, not a curated record. The transcript has 4 exons.